Long non-coding RNA from Carassius auratus (goldfish), 1379 nucleotides. RefSeq lists it as uncharacterized. The record is from RefSeq and is a predicted model, not a curated record. Lineage: Eukaryota; Metazoa; Chordata; Actinopteri; Cypriniformes; Cyprinidae. The transcript has 3 exons.
AUGAAAAUAGAUAAUAAGUGUCAAUGCUGGGCUCUCUAAGAGUUAAAGAUGCAUCGAUAUCUGAUAAUCCAGGGUUAACCUGUCACGAGACCCGUGUGUGAUGUUCAGGGGUUAAAACAAAGAUGCGCACGAGAGAGUCGCUGUUUCCCUCCAUAGACACGAUGCGCUCUUCCACACAGUGCACUCGCUCAUCCUUGUAGGUCCUCAGUCAGUGGUCAGUGUACACACACACACACUUUGCAUCUUCUCCCCGCGGAGGCUUCUCUUCAGCACCCGGCGCGAGAACAGUUCCCUAACUUCACUUCACGUGCUCUCGAGACGCCUCGCGCGCACACUCACGUUCUGUCAUUAUUCAUCGACGGUAAGCUCACGCAAGAAGCCCUAUGUCUGACUGACUGUCUCUGAGAAGAAGAAGAAGACAUAGACAGAGGGAGAGAAAAGAAAGAUAAAGAGAAAGAGAGAAUUUCUCCUCCCCGAGCUGCUUAUUUUCUCUGUCAAGCGUGUAUCAUCUGCUGUGUGGUGAAAAGCGCAGACCUGCGUGGGACCGAAUUCCCGCCGCUCCAAGGAAGCCCCAACCGUACUCUGAAAGGUCUCUGCAUCCUCACCCUGAAGCAUGACCAUUCGUGAUUAGAUGCAUCUAUGUUUGUCAAUACUGCAAUCUGACCAUUAAGUGCAGUCUGAGAGGAAAUGGGAGAAAAGAGGUGAGCACUCAUAUAAUAUUGAUUUUAUCCUUUCCUCGUGUAGAACUAGAACCCAUUUUAUUUGAAAAGUUGAUGUCAAAUUUUGUGACUUAGUUUGUCUUCGGUGCUUAUAGUGCGCUCCAGGGCUGUUCCCUCUCUCACACACAUACAGACAUGAUGAGUAUCAAUAAUUCAUAGGGACUCGUGCUGACCCUGCCUUUAGUGACCUCUGUCAUGUCCUGCCUGCUGCUACUUUAUAAAUAAACAUCUGUUCAUGCCAGGCUUUCGACUGUCGUUCAGACAGGAUAUGUGUGUGUGUGUGCAUUCAGAAGCUGCUCGUUUGGAAGCCCACCAUAUUCCCUGUACAGUACACCUUUGUUACAGCUGACUUCAAUAAAGAGCUUUCUUAACUUAUGCGUAUAAAGUAAUUUUAAGAAUUUGGGUUCAGGAUAUACCAAAUUCCAGAUCUGAAAACACACUCCUCUGUCAAUUGAGGCUAAGCUGCAAAAAUAGCUCAUCCCGAAUUGGAAAACAUUGCUUCAAUAUUUAGUAUUCGACAACUUGGCUACAAUAUUACACUUUAAAUACUGUAGAUCUCAUUCUAAGUGGUGUCUAUGUGCUUGUUAAUUUAUGUCCAAUCUUGAGUGUUCUCUCAUAUUUUUAAAUGACACACAAUGUCAUGUGUGCGGUACGAUGCAA